GACGAACGCUGGCGGCGUGCUUAACACAUGCAAGUCGAACGGAAAGGCCCCCUUGUGGGGUACUCGAGUGGCGAACGGGUGAGUAACACGUGAGUAACCUACCCUUGACUUUGGGAUAACCUCAGGAAACUGGGGCUAAUACCGGAUAGGAGCUCCUGCUGCAUGGUGGGGGUUGGAAAGUUUCGGCGGUUGGGGAUGGACUCGCGGCUUAUCAGCUUGUUGGUGGGGUAGUGGCUCACCAAGGCUUUGACGGGUAGCCGGCCUGAGAGGGUGACCGGCCACAUUGGGACUGAGAUACGGCCCAGACUCCUACGGGAGGCAGCAGUGGGGAAUAUUGCACAAUGGGCGGAAGCCUGAUGCAGCAACGCCGCGUGCGGGAUGACGGCC
This 387-nucleotide ribosomal RNA is filed under the name uncultured bacterium. RNAcentral's name for it is "bacterial SSU rRNA". It matches the Rfam family "Bacterial small subunit ribosomal RNA", at positions 28 to 416 of the family's 1533-position model. The record is from RNAcentral.